Molecule: ribosomal RNA, 427 nt
Filed under: uncultured bacterium
Lineage: Bacteria
Description: bacterial SSU rRNA
Rfam family: Bacterial small subunit ribosomal RNA
Source: RNAcentral
UGGGGAAUUUUGGACAAUGGGCGCAAGCCUGAUCCAGCCAUGCCGCGUGCGGGAAGAAGGCCUUCGGGUUGUAAACCGCUUUUGUCAGGGAAGAAAUCCUUUGAGCUAAUACCUCGGGGGGAUGACGGUACCUGAAGAAUAAGCACCGGCUAACUACGUGCCAGCAGCCGCGGUAAUACGUAGGGUGCGAGCGUUAAUCGGAAUUACUGGGCGUAAAGCGUGCGCAGGCGGUUAUGUAAGACAGAGGUGAAAUCCCCGGGCUCAACCUGGGAACUGCCUUUGUGACUGGAUGGCUAGAGUGCGGCAGAGGGGGAUGGAAUUCCGCGUGUAGCAGUGAAAUGCGUAGAUAUGCGGAGGAACACCGAUGGCGAAGGCAAUCCCCUGGACCUGUACUGACGCUCAUGUACGAAAGCGUGGGGAGCAAACA